This 255-nucleotide ribosomal RNA is filed under the name uncultured bacterium. Its description in RNAcentral is "partial 16S ribosomal RNA". It matches the Rfam family "Bacterial small subunit ribosomal RNA", at positions 524 to 776 of the family's 1533-position model. The record is from RNAcentral.
UACGUAGGGUGCAAGCGUUAAUCGGAAUUACUGGGCGUAAAGCGUGCGCAGGCGGUUUUGUAAGUCUGUCGUGAAAUCCCCGGGCUCAACCUGGGAAUUGCGAUGGAGACUGCAAGGCUAGAAUCUGGCAGAGGGGGGUAGAAUUCCACGUGUAGCAGUGAAAUGCGUAGAGAUGUGGAGGAACACCGAUGGCGAAGGCAGCCCCCCUGGGUCAAGAUUGACGCUCAUGCACGAAAGGCGUGGGGAGCAAACAGG